GGUAACUCCGGGGCAGGAGCCGCGGGAAUACGGGAGGGGCAAGCGUUAACCGGAUUUAUUGGGGUUAAAGGGUCCGGAGGCGGACUUAUAAGGCAGUGGUGAAAGCCUGUCGCUUAACGAUAGAACUGCCAUUGAUACUGUAAGGCUUGAGUAUAUUUGAGGUAGCUGGAAUAAGUAGUGUAGCGGUGAAAUGCAUAGAUAUUACUUAGAACACCAAUUGCGAAGGCAGGUUACCAAGAUAUAACUGACGCUGAGGGACGAAAGCGUGGGGAGCGAACAGGAUUAGAUACCCUUGUAGUC
Molecule: ribosomal RNA, 300 nt
Filed under: uncultured Cellulosibacter sp.
Lineage: Bacteria; Bacillati; Bacillota; Clostridia; Eubacteriales; Oscillospiraceae
Description: bacterial SSU rRNA
Rfam family: Bacterial small subunit ribosomal RNA
Source: RNAcentral